Molecule: long non-coding RNA, 1265 nt
Filed under: Taeniopygia guttata (zebra finch)
Lineage: Eukaryota; Metazoa; Chordata; Aves; Passeriformes; Estrildidae
Description: lncRNA (ENSTGUG00000021802.1)
Source: RNAcentral
AGAUGAGUCAUGAAGCACCUCUCCUAAGAGAACAGGCUGAAAGAAUUUGGAUUGCUCAGCCUGGAGAAGAGAAAACUUUAGGAUGACCUAACUAUGGCCUUCCUGCACCUGAAAGGAACUUAGAAGAAAGAUGGAAAGAGAUUGUUUACAAGAGCAUCUAGUGACAGGACAAGGGGGAGCAACUUAAAACUGAGAGCAGAUUUAGAUUAGAUAUUAGGAAGAAAUUCUUUUCUGUGAGAGGCUUGGCACAGAUUUCCCAGAGAAAUUGUGGUUGCCCCAUCCCUAGAAGUGUUUAUGGACAUGCUGGAUGGAGUUUUGACCAACCUAUUCUAAUGGAAGUUGUUGCAGGGUGUUUGGAAAUAGAUGAUCUUUAAGGUCCCUUCCAACCCAAGACAUCCUGAUUAUAUGAAACUCAGAUGUGAAAGGUUGAUAUUUAAUUUCUAGAUGCUUUUUGGGGCAGCAUUGUUUAUUUAUGUGUAGUUUAAAUAAGGCGAUAUGAGCAAUAGUAAAUUUUCUAGGCUUCAACAUCUAUUAUUAAAUCCAAUGUUUAGCCUAUUUAUUUUAUAAAAUAGGUCCACCCAAUUGGUCUUUAACUGGUCCUCUGAGCAGUGACUGGGAAUGCAUAACGAAUUAAUUUGUCAUUCUAUCCACGCUUAACAGAAAGAAGUUAGACCUUGUCAAUAUUAACAGGAUGUUCCUUGUUGAAUCUCAGAGAUAUUGCUGGAAAUGGGCAUGAUCCUGCAAAGAUGAAAAAAAGCAAAACAGGACACAAGAGAAAAGGAGGUGGAGGUACUUUACAGGGAAAAGAAUGGGAAUUGAGAUAGGACAAUAGACUAUGUACAGAGGCUCGUUUGUAUACAGAAAUAUAAUAUUUGAUCCUACUGGAGCAUCCCAGAGUAAAGAAGUGAUUCUCUUGCAGGACCCUGCAGCAUUCCUGACUGCUGGGAAUACUUCAGUGCUGGUGCUACUGGCAAGAACUUGAGGCAAAGAAGGCACGUCAGUUUUCUUGUGGUUAUAGCUUCCUACUAGAGAGCCUGAAAAACUGUCUGGUGGCAGUCCUUCAAAGCCUGCUAGCUUCCUAAGGCUGUGAGCAGACAUAAUUUGUUGACAGCUCCAAAGGGCCACCCUUCUCUGCUCUCUGCAGGCCAAACUAAUUUUUGAAUAAUUUCUUGUUACACGGCUAGGAGUAUGACACCACUUCACUGUUUGAACAAUCAUUCUAAAGACUGAGAAGACGCUAUGGCUAGCUAUCUCAAUGUGCAAGC